Molecule: long non-coding RNA, 1508 nt
Organism: Pyrus x bretschneideri (Chinese white pear)
Lineage: Eukaryota; Viridiplantae; Streptophyta; Magnoliopsida; Rosales; Rosaceae
Exons: 5
Source: RefSeq, a predicted model, not a curated record
AAGAUGGGUUUGUUUUUUUUAUUUUUUUAAUAAUAGGAUAAAUUAUUAUAUUUUAAAUGCAUAAAAAAUAAUAAUUUUUUUAGACACAAAUUUAGCAACAGCUUAAUCUUCUGUAUUGCACAGUGAAAUGACAAUUUUACCGGUGUUGUGUACGUGUUGAUCAUCGCGUAAUGGGAAGGAGGAUGCAAAAGCCGAAGCCAGCUCUCUCUCUCAAAGGUUCCUCUCUUCUUCGUCCUCUGAUCUGACCAAUCACAGUCAGAUUCUCUCUUCCAACACCCACAUCAAAUUUGCCUUUGCUCCAUCUUCUCGAGCUCUCUCUCGCAGCUCAUCCAUUUCUCCAACGAUUGACGAGUGAGAUUUGAAUUCAAGAGCUCCUUCAUCUUCCCCAAUACUGGCGUUUUCGAAAAUUUCACUGUAUUUCGCAGAUUGGAGCCUUCUGUAAUGAUCGGAGCUGUUGGGAUUUUGAAAAAAAUGGGAGUAAUUUUUCUUUUGGGUUUCGUCUCUCUGGUAUUUAUACUGAACCCAAAACCCCAAAAGAUUUGAACUUUCAGGUAAAUUAAUUUACCUUCUUCUGAUUUCUUUUUUUUUUUUUCUUUUUGGAGAAUUUGUUGUUAGAAUUUGAGUAUAUUGUUGCCAUUGUGUUAUGAAUUAGGAGAAAAACAGGGUUUCAGAUGCAAGGGACGAGAUGGUUAUGUGUGUUUUGCGUAAUUCAUGAUACUGUAUGAAGUUUGGGUUGGGUAUGAAUUUACUUGGAAAUGUAUGUAUGCAGGUUGAAUAUACCGUUUGAGAAACUAUGGUUUAUUCCCAUGUUCGUACUCAAAUGCGCUCAACUAAUACCCGCUUUCUCCCUCUCUCUCAUGAUGAUUGCUGUGUAUUACCACGCCCAGAGAAGGUGAGAAUCCAGCCUUCCCAAACUUGGCUUGCCUUAUCGGCUGUGGAGUAUCAACAAAUGCUCUUGAAAUUCCUUAUAAAAUUUGGCAAGGGAAAAGGAAUUGAUAAGGCAGAAAGCUUUAGAGAAAGCUAGAAAGCUUCAGGUUACAUACAUAUGGUUUUUACGAAGUAAGAGUUUCUAAUGAUGGGAAUUAUCAGGUAUCUGCAAUAAAGAGAAUGCAAAGUAAUAGGUUUGUCAUCUUUUGAUUUAUAUUAAUUUCUUAGGUAUCUGCAAUAAUGAGAAUGCAAAGUAACAGUUCCCAUUUCUUAUUGUUUCGCAAAUUAAUAAUUUGAUUAUGUUUUAUUGUGUUAAUGUGUAGCAUAGUACACUGAGAGUGAAGAAUGAAUAAGGGUAAAGAUUUUCAAGCUAUCCAAGGGCUUUACGGCCUUAGUAUAACAAAAUGUUUCGACAUUUAAACUUUUUUUUCCUAUUUACUUUUAUAUUUUUUUGGCCUCUCGAAUAUAUUUUGUGCAUUAGUUUUAAAUUUUGGCUGUAAUCUCAUUAGUUUGAUUCUAAUUCAAUAAAUUUGUGUAACAUACAGUUUUCUUUUAGAAAAAGAAUUGACCUUUGAAGAAAA